RNAcentral lists this ribosomal RNA (403 nucleotides) under uncultured bacterium. RNAcentral's name for it is "partial 16S ribosomal RNA". It matches the Rfam family "Bacterial small subunit ribosomal RNA", at positions 355 to 774 of the family's 1533-position model. The record is from RNAcentral.
UGGGGAAUAUUGGACAAUGGGGGCAACCCUGAUCCAGCAAUGCCGCGUGUGUGAAGAAGGUUUUCGGAUUGUAAAGCACUUUCGACGGGGACGAUGAUGACGGUACCCGUAGAAGAAGCCCCGGCUAACUUCGUGCCAGCAGCCGCGGUAAUACGAAGGGGGCUAGCGUUGCUCGGAAUGACUGGGCGUAAAGGGCGUGUAGGCGGUUUGUACAGUCAGAUGUGAAAUCCCCGGGCUUAACCUGGGAGCUGCAUUUGAUACGUGCAGACUAGAGUGUGAGAGAGGGUUGUGGAAUUCCCAGUGUAGAGGUGAAAUUCGUAGAUAUUGGGAAGAACACCGGUGGCGAAGGCGGCAACCUGGCUCAUAACUGACGCUGAGGCGCGAAAGCGUGGGGGAGCAAACA